This 432-nucleotide long non-coding RNA is filed under the name Trifolium pratense (red clover). Its description in RNAcentral is "long non-coding RNA (TPRA_LNC004667)". Lineage: Eukaryota; Viridiplantae; Streptophyta; Magnoliopsida; Fabales; Fabaceae. The record is from RNAcentral.
AAAUUAAAUUUUUAAAUGAAAAAAUAUUACAAAUAAUAAGUGAAAAAGUAAAAAUUAAACCCAACUGUUCACAUUCACAAACCCAGAAAAACGAUGAGUUCCCACUCACAUGACAAUUUCACAAAUCACAAACAACUUGAUGUUCAAACUCUUCUUUAAAAAAAUCGAAAUUCGAUAGGCUCCAUGCUCAUCCAAUUCCUCAUGUUUUGCUCACACCCGGAAAAAUCACACAAUUCCUCAUGUUUGCUCUUCAACACCUCUGCUGAAUGCUUUGUGGCUUGUUAUUUAAUUUUUUUCUUUGUCGUCCUACAUCAACAACAAAACUUUGAUUUCAGGUAUCUUAGGAUAGAAAUACAAUAUUAAAGCAUCCACUUGAUGAUAAUGAUUGGGUGAGAAGUGGGAUUGAAGAAGAUAAAGUGAUAUUUGGGAUUU